CAGAAAAUAGUUUAAUUUAGAAUAAUAAUUUUGGAGAUUAUAGAUAAUAUUUAUAUAUUUUUUUUGA
This 67-nucleotide transfer RNA is filed under the name Paduniella fasciaria. Its description in RNAcentral is "tRNA-Pro". The record is from RNAcentral. Lineage: Eukaryota; Metazoa; Arthropoda; Insecta; Trichoptera; Psychomyiidae.